This 94-nucleotide transfer RNA is filed under the name Microthrixaceae bacterium. RNAcentral describes it as "tRNA-Ser". It matches the Rfam family "tRNA". Rfam says of the family: Transfer RNA (tRNA) molecules are approximately 80 nucleotides in length. Their secondary structure includes four short double-helical elements and three loops (D, anti-codon, and T loops). Lineage: Bacteria; Bacillati; Actinomycetota; Acidimicrobiia; Acidimicrobiales; Microthrixaceae. The record is from RNAcentral.
GGAGAGGUGCUGGAGUGGUCGAACAGGGCUGCCUGCUAAGCAGUUGUCCGGGUGAACUCCUGGACCGAGGGUUCGAAUCCCUCCCUCUCCGCCA